UACAGAGGGGGCAAGCGUUGUUCGGAAUUACUGGGCGUAAAGGGCGCGUAGGCGGCCUGUUAAGUCAGACGUGAAAUCCCUCGGCUCAACCGGGGAACUGCGUCUGAUACUGGCGGGCUUGAAUUCGGGAGAGGGAUGUGGAAUUCCAGGUGUAGCGGUGAAAUGCGUAGAUAUCUGGAGGAAUACCGGUGGCGAAGGCGGCAUCCUGGACCGGCAUUGACGCUGAGGAGCGAAAGCCAGGGGAGCAAACGGG
RNAcentral lists this ribosomal RNA (253 nucleotides) under uncultured bacterium. Its description in RNAcentral is "partial 16S ribosomal RNA". It matches the Rfam family "Bacterial small subunit ribosomal RNA", at positions 524 to 776 of the family's 1533-position model. The record is from RNAcentral.